Molecule: long non-coding RNA, 366 nt
Organism: Oreochromis aureus
Lineage: Eukaryota; Metazoa; Chordata; Actinopteri; Cichliformes; Cichlidae
Source: Ensembl
CCGGGCUCGGCCAUCACCUGCACACCUGCUUUACAUCCGGGGCGAUUACCCCACGUUGAUGGAUGCUCCAUGCCAGUCCGUUAAUCACCUCUCUGUGAUUACAAUCCAGCAUCCUGCAUCUGCCACCUGCCUGUCCUCCUGCUCGCCUGGACCACCCGGUGCAUCAGCUGGCCUUAUUCCUGACUCCGAUUCACUUUCCACGGACUCACUCACCCCCCUUCCGAGUCCCACGGUCCCUCUCCGAUCCCUCCCACGGUCCCGAUUCCAGCUUCCCUGCGUCAUUUAUUUCCCCGGGUUUUCUUCAGUUCCUCGCUUGCUUCUUUAAUUACUCCGGGUCACCUUUUGUUAAUAUAAUAAACCGUUUUU